Leptonychotes weddellii (Weddell seal) is the source of this 2037-nucleotide non-coding RNA. NCBI's taxonomy places the organism in Eukaryota, Metazoa, Chordata, Mammalia, Carnivora, Phocidae. The record is from RefSeq and is a predicted model, not a curated record.
UUUUUUUUAAUUUGUGGUAUCCCUUUAAGAGUCAUUUGGUACAAUUCAUAGCCUGAUUCAUGCCACCAGCUGCCUCUGAUUUCAGUGAGAAAUGCAGAAAUUUAUAGGGAACUGUAAAAUGGGGACAGGUUUUUCGUUUUCUAAAUUGAGGUUUUAACUGGCAAACUUCUGAAGGUUUAAGAAACCGCAGAGCUGAGCUGUGGGAAGCUGGCUUCAUUUCCGGUCAGAAGAAAUAAACACACAAACACAUAUCUAACUCACAAAGUGUCGGAAGAGAUAAACCAAUGCUCUUUGCAGAGGAGGAAAACAAAAAAUCAGCCUCGUGGGCAACAGGAGGGAAGUCACAUUUGCCAGCGGACAGCCCCCUAUGCUGGCAGAGGGAGAAACUGAGCCUGGGCAGCGACGGGCAGGAUUUGCACAAAGUCUCCCGCUUCGAGCUGCGUGUCUCCGCAGUCCCAGGGCAGCGCCCAGCCCACAUCGCCCUUCUCAAAGCCCCAGGGAUUGAUGAGAACCCCCUGCAACAGCCACAGGACACACAGUCUUAGGAUAUGGGCUUUCAUCCUCAUGCCUGCCACCUCAUGGUCACAAAAAGGCUGCUGUAACUCCAGAUGUCAUGUCCACAUUCAAAACAGAAAAAAAGGAGAAAGAGGAAAAGGGGACUGGGAGACUUCUCCUUACGUCUCACAGACCAGAGCUGAGUCACGUGGCCACCACUAACUGCAAAGGAGACUGAGGUUCCCCAGAUGCUAAGGCCACAUGGACCAAGCAGAACCAACCACAGGACAGCAUUGGUUAGGCUAUAAGAAGCAAAUGGACAGUUGGGAUGGAUGAAGGAGCUCAUAAAGGCAAAAGUACCUAGAACACACAAAAGUCAUAAAGCAGCCCUGAUUAGGAGAGAGAAUGCUUGGAUGGAUCAGCAUGGAGCCAAGUGGACAAAGGCAAACUGUGUUUUAUAACAAGAAGAGCCUGAAUCUUGCCCUAAAUUGAGAGUGAGGAAUGAGGGAGGGGAGAAAGCAAAGAUAAGUCCCAGAAUGCUGACUUCAGGGGUUGCUGGGGCCACUUACUGGGACAGGGAAGAGGGGAGGAAGGUCGCCAGGGCCCACAGGAUCACGAGCCCUGCCUGCCAGGCCAGCUGUGGUAAAGUCACCACUGAUCCAGGAUCUUGAAAGGGUUGAGGACCGACACUGAAUCUUUACGCAUCAGGAAGACAAAAAGGAUUUCCUCACGAAGACUGACAUGAUCAGACAGUGUUUUAGAAAAUGUGUGUUUGGUGAGCAUAUGGGACAUGGAAGAUAAACCAGGAGCUAACAAUACCUAAGUAGCCAGGCCCCCCAAUUCUCCUGCCACUCCCAGGCUCAGGAAAAUGUAAUGAAAUGAAAGCAGUUUGGAAAAGAGCUGGAAAGACCUCCCAGCUAGACCCAGCCCAGAGCGCAGCUUGGCCAAAGCUCAGGUCAUGCGGAGCACAUGGGCCUUGCGGCUGGCUGCAUUCACCGGCCAAACCACAGGGCAAAUUUAAACACUUCAGUUGUCACAACACAGCAGACCUGAAUGACAACAGCUUUCUUAAAAGUAGGACUUCAAAAACAAAAACACUUCUUCACACACACACACACAAAAAAACCAAAAAACAAAACAAAACAAAAUCUCAGGAAAACUGGCUCUCUCUCAGGCAAUUAUUUUAAAACGUUGGGCCUCAAAAUAUUUUCAGCCCCAGCCCACAUGGAAGGGGCACAAAGCUGUGUGGACCUUCUUUUGUCUUCACCAUAUCUGACCGAGAAAAAGGGUGACUCUUCUGAAGACAAGCCAAUAGACCCUGAGUGUUGAGCACCUAACACAUGAUGCUCACCACUGCAUUGUUAGCACAGUAGGAGUAUUUGGGUAAGUCAUGAUAGCUCUUUGGGCCUGAGUUGUUUUGGAUUUUGUCCCCAUAAGUGGAAAUAAUGAUAACACUUUCCUUACAUACUGUUUCGAAGACAUAGUUCUUCUUCUCCUUCUCCUCCUCCUCCUCCUCUUCCUCCUCUUCCUCCUCCUCCUUCU